RNAcentral lists this long non-coding RNA (1161 nucleotides) under Homo sapiens (human). RNAcentral describes it as "HSALNT0329653". The record is from RNAcentral. Lineage: Eukaryota; Metazoa; Chordata; Mammalia; Primates; Hominidae.
AACAGGGACAUGGAAAUCCAGGGAGAAAGGCCUGACAUAUGCGAUGACAGUUUUAUCAUCUCCUUUAGUUCUUCUAAAAGUAUUUGUUCCUAUGCUCUUGAAUCUCAUUUGAGGUCAAGAUGCAAUUUCAAUUCAAGCUAAUAACAAGGGCUCUGAGAGUGGUGUUCUGCUUGCUGGAGUCAAAGCAAUGCUCAGCUGUCUAUGCUGAGAUCAGUCUCUCAGUUCCAGAUGCAUAAAACUGGAGAAGCGGUCCACAGCUCAAUCACCCACCUUCUCUUCCAAAGAAUCCACAAGUACUAGAGGGACAGCAUCAGCAACACGCCGGGCGGAAUCACUCGGGGGCCUUGGAAGACCUGUUCUAUUUGCUUCUGAAGGUGAGAGAGUGGAGGACCCCAGAGAGUCUUUCCUCCCAUGGAAAAUUCUCAUGACUGAGCAGCUUUAAGCUCUUUGGAGCCCUACGGGGCUGAGAGGGCUACUUACAAGAGAGGUUGCCCAGACUCUCCCAAGGCAGUUGCAUAGCCUGAUUUUAGAAUAAUAUGUGGCCACAAAAAGAAGUCAGUCUGCUGGGAUUCCUCUGGAGAGCCUGAGAAGGGGGACAGGGCAGCCAGCUGGCUGGCAGCCACUCCAAGCACAAAGGUGGGAGCCAGCUGUGCCAGGUGUGUUUAAAGUUCAUCUUACCUUUGGUCCCCCAAUACCUGUGUGAUGGAUGGCAUUGUGGGAAGGUGUAUUCAGCCAGUAAUGCAUUUCUGUCAGAGUGGCUGGAAAUAAAAGGGAGAUGAUGGGAGGGGGGCUGCUUUUGUGCUCGGGGUAAAUAACCAGUCGGCUAGGGUUUUUCUUCUUCUUCUAUUCAUGUUCAUGGGGCCAGGAGGGACUAAAAGUUUACUGACUUUCCUAACAUUCCUUCUUCUCCAUAAAAAUGUAAGUCCAGGGUAGGUAGGAUUCCUCUCCCUCCUUGGCUGGCCAGCCUCAGAGAUUUCAGUGAGCCACUCGCAGUCCCUGAAUGCGCAGACCUGGCAUAACAAGAAGAUUUCUGACUACGGGGCAUUUCUCCGUACAGAACGGCUGGCUCUAAAGGCAGUCGGCACCCAGGAGAAAACAUGCCAAAUAAUUUUUUCUACAUUAAAUUAUGAGGUGAGCUGAAAAAACACAACUAAAUCACCC